UACAGAGGGUGCAAGCGUUAAUCGGAAUUACUGGGCGUAAAGCGUGCGUAGACGGUUAUCUAAGUCGGGUGUGAAAUCCCCGGGCUCAACCUGGGAAUUGCAUUCGAUACUGGAUAGCUAGAGUUCGGCAGAGGGAAGUGGAAUUUCCGGUGUAGCGGUGAAAUGCGUAGAUAUCGGAAGGAACAUCAGUGGCGAAAGCGACUUCCUGGACCAGAACUGACGUUCAGGCACGAAAGCGUGGGGAGCAAACAGG
RNAcentral lists this ribosomal RNA (253 nucleotides) under uncultured bacterium. RNAcentral describes it as "partial 16S ribosomal RNA". It matches the Rfam family "Bacterial small subunit ribosomal RNA", at positions 524 to 776 of the family's 1533-position model. The record is from RNAcentral.